AAACUACGUUAAACGGUGUGAAUUGCAGAACACGCAGAACACUGGAACUUUGAACGCACAUGGCAGGUUAGUGUUAUAACUAACCUUUGUCUGUGUGAGGGUUGUAAUCAGAGAUUCAAGGCUAUUUUUUGAAAGGCGGGGAGGUUGCCUGUUAAAUGUGUGACAUGCCCGCUGAUCGCAGUAAAAACACACUUGUGUUGCGCCUCUGGCCAGCGUCGGAGGUAAACAGCAACUAGUGUGAAGGGUAGAGGAGUUUGCUGGAGUUGAUACGCUGUUGCGAGCGUGAUCAGAAACAGUAGUUCCCUAUCCUGCCUUUAUUUCUCACAACCUCACAUCAGGCAAGAUUACCCGCUUAAUUUAA
RNAcentral lists this unclassified non-coding RNA (361 nucleotides) under uncultured fungus. RNAcentral's name for it is "sequence contains ITS1". The stretch from base 1 to 104 matches the Rfam family "5.8S ribosomal RNA", at positions 50 to 154 of the family's 154-position model. Lineage: Eukaryota; Fungi. The record is from RNAcentral.